This 468-nucleotide ribosomal RNA is filed under the name uncultured bacterium. Its description in RNAcentral is "partial 16S ribosomal RNA". It matches the Rfam family "Bacterial small subunit ribosomal RNA", at positions 28 to 507 of the family's 1533-position model. The record is from RNAcentral.
GACGAACGCUGGCGGCGUGCUUAACACAUGCAAGUCGAACGGAAAGGCCCUGCUUUUGUGGGGUGCUCGAGUGGCGAACGGGUGAGUAACACGUGAGUAACCUGCCCUUGACUUUGGGAUAACUUCAGGAAACUGGGGCUAAUACCGGAUAGGAGCUCCUGCUGCAUGGUGGGGGUUGGAAAGUUUCGGCGGUUGGGGAUGGACUCGCGGCUUAUCAGCUUGUUGGUGGGGUAGUGGCUUACCAAGGCUUUGACGGGUAGCCGGCCUGGGAGGGUGACCGGCCACAUUGGGACUGAGAUACGGCGCAGAGUCCUACGGGAGGCAGCAGUGGGGAAUAUUGCACAAUGGGCGGAAGCCUGAUGCAGCAACGCCGCGUGCGGGAUGACGGCCUUCGGGUUGUAAACCGCUUUCGCCUGUGACGAAGCGUGAGUGACGGUAAUGGGUAAAGAAGCACCGGCUAACUACGUG